GUUUGAUCCUGGCUCAGAACGAACGCUGGCGGCAUGCCUAACACAUGCAAGUCGAACGAUCCCUUCGGGGAUAGUGGCGCACGGGUGCGUAACGCGUGGGAACCUGCCCUUAGGUUCGGAAUAACUCCUCGAAAGGGGUGCUAAUACCGGAUAAUGUCUUCGGACCAAAGAUUUAUCGCCUUUGGAUGGGCCCGCGUUGGAUUAGCUAGUUGGUGGGGUAAAGGCCUACCAAGGCGACGAUCCAUAGCUGGUCUGAGAGGAUGAUCAGCUACACUGGGACUGAGACACGGCCCAGACUCCUACGGGAGGCAGCAGUGGGGAAUAUUGGACAAUGGGCGAAAGCCUGAUCCAGCAAUGCCGCGUGAGUGAUGAAGGCCCUAGGGUUGUAAAGCUCUUUUACCCGGGAUGAUAAUGACAGUACCGGGAGAAUAAGCUCCGGCUAACUCCGUGCAGCAGCCGCGGUAAUAC
This 468-nucleotide ribosomal RNA is filed under the name uncultured bacterium. Its description in RNAcentral is "bacterial SSU rRNA". It matches the Rfam family "Bacterial small subunit ribosomal RNA", at positions 11 to 526 of the family's 1533-position model. The record is from RNAcentral.